GGGUCUGCGUCUCAUUAGCUUGUUGGCGGGGUAACGGCCCACCAAGGCAACGAUGGGUAGCCGAUUUGAGAGGAUGAUCGGCCACACUGGAACUGAAACACGGUCCAGACUCCUACGGGAGGCAGCAGUGGGGAAUAUUGCGCAAUGGGCGAAAGCCUGACGCAGCGACGCCGCGUGAGGGAUGAAGGUUUUCGGAUCGUAAACCUCUGUCAGAAGGGAAGAAACUACAUUGUGCUAAUCAGCAGUGUACUGACGGUACCUUCAAAGGAAGCACCGGCUAACUCCGUGCCAGCAGCCGCGGUAAUACGGAGGGUGCAAGCGUUAAUCGGAAUUACUGGGCGUAAAGCGCACGUAGGCUGUAGUGUAAGUCAGGGGUGAAAUCCCACGGCUCAACCGUGGAACUGCCUUUGAUACUGCACAACUUGAAUCCGGGAGAGGGUGGCGGAAUUCCAGGUGUAGGAGUGAAAUCCGUAGAUAUCUGGAGGAACAUCAGUGGCGAA
Molecule: ribosomal RNA, 500 nt
Filed under: uncultured sulfate-reducing bacterium
Lineage: Bacteria
Description: bacterial SSU rRNA
Rfam family: Bacterial small subunit ribosomal RNA
Source: RNAcentral